GCCUUAUUUUACUUUGGCACUUAGGCCUCCAUCUCUGUCCCGCUCCCCGCCUUCUGGCCCACGUGGGUGCAGCUCACCUGCCAGGUCGCCAAGCGCCAAGCCCUGGACUGGCUUCCUUGCACUUCCAGCUCCGUGGUCCCAACAUACAGAGGGAAAGAGCAGGUUGCCCCCGUUCCUUCCCAGGGCGCUCUGUUCACUCUCGGCGGGGCGAGCCUACCUGCCUUCCCCACCCUGCAAGCGCAGCGACAGGCAACAGACAAGAAUUCCUUUUGAAAUAGGCUCUGGCGUCAAUGUGACAAAACUCAGCCUGUCACCACCUGGAGCGACAGCCUUGUGGUCUGAACCGACUCAGCUGCGAGGAUCCUGGGAGGUCUGAUUUCACGCCGCUUCUUGUCUGUUCUUUUUCGAACCACGCUAGACAACUUUUAUGAUGGCUUCAAAAACACAUGGUGGCACAGCCCUGUUUGGGGAGGAGGUGCCCCACUUGUUUUUCUUCUCCUGUCAGAUAGUUCCUGUGCUUAAAAGAAGAUUGUGUUUGGUUUCGGAGGAUAAGUCCCCAGAUAUUACACGGACGGAGCGUGGAGGCAUCUAUAUCCAAGGCCUGUCACAGUGUCGAUACAAAACUUCUUUCUCUAUUCUUAGGGCAUAACGCCCCCACGCGUGAGAGAGGGACAUCUCAAGAAUCUGAAGAAGUAGUAGGAUGGCUGAAAGAAGUGGUCGGAGAGCCAGACUGUUCAUUUUUCCUUGGGCUAAAGAACAGACAAAAUAGUGAGAGCGGAUCUGGUCAAAAUCGAAGUGGCAUGGGGAACACAGAGCGCUAAGCAGGAUGUUAGAUGCAACCUUCUUCUGAAGACGUUCGCAGAACCAGGAAAACGUGAGCUCUGGUGAAAGGGUCUCUAGAGGUAAGAGCAGAUGUCAAAGUCCAGUCCUUGUGACUUCUGGUGGAACACC
This 951-nucleotide long non-coding RNA is filed under the name Dasypus novemcinctus (nine-banded armadillo). Its description in RNAcentral is "lncRNA (ENSDNOG00000052535.1)". The record is from RNAcentral. Lineage: Eukaryota; Metazoa; Chordata; Mammalia; Cingulata; Dasypodidae.